RNAcentral lists this ribosomal RNA (481 nucleotides) under uncultured bacterium. RNAcentral describes it as "bacterial SSU rRNA". It matches the Rfam family "Bacterial small subunit ribosomal RNA", at positions 22 to 518 of the family's 1533-position model. The record is from RNAcentral.
GGUCAGGACGAACGCUGGCGGCGUGCCUAACACAUGCAAGUCGAGCGAUGAAAUCCUUCGGGAUGGAUUAGCGGCGGACGGGUGAGUAACACGUGGGUAACCUGCCUUGUAGAGGGGGAUAGCCUUCCGAAAGGAAGAUUAAUACCGCAUAACAUCUUUUUAUCGCAUGGUAGAAAGAUCAAAGGAGCAAUCCGCUACAAGAUGGACCCGCGGCGCAUUAGCUAGUUGGUGAGGUAACGGCUCACCAAGGCGACGAUGCGUAGCCGACCUGAGAGGGUGAUCGGCCACAUUGGAACUGAGACACGGUCCAGACUCCUACGGGAGGCAGCAGUGGGGAAUAUUGCGCAAUGGGGGGAAAAACCCCUGACGCAGCAACGCCGCGUGAAUGAAGAAGGCCUUAGGGUUGUAAAGUUCUGUUUACGGGGACGAUAAUGACGGUACCCGUGGAGGAAGCCACGGCUAACUACGUGCCAGCCGCAGC